Nicotiana attenuata is the source of this 829-nucleotide long non-coding RNA. RefSeq lists it as uncharacterized. Lineage: Eukaryota; Viridiplantae; Streptophyta; Magnoliopsida; Solanales; Solanaceae. The record is from RefSeq and is a predicted model, not a curated record. The transcript is spliced from 5 exons.
UAGUCAUUUCCGAAAAUUGGUAUUCUCCAUGUUAGUCAUUUCCGAAAAUGUUUUUCUCUCCUACUCCAGUAAGCUAACACGUCACUUCUCUUCUAUUCCAUUUGUGUCUGUUCCAUGGGUUUUUCUUUGUCCUAAUUCUUUCUCUGUGAUUUCGUUAUUCUCGGAAAUAUCGCCUCAUCUCAACCCUAGGAAGUAAAAUGCAUAGGGUAGGAGAUCUAUCUCCGUCGUCUCAGGCGUUGGUCCUUUACUGUCCAUUUGUAAUCGUUAUCUCUUUUUGGUAUCAACUAAUUGACCAAACAAAGUACUUGGAUCAUCAAUUAGAGUUUGAAUGAAGGCAUUUACCACUAUAUGCUCGUUUUCUUUGAUCUCAAGCUAAACCAACAUUGACGCAACGAUGACAAGUAUAAACGGUUAGGUGUGAUACAUGGAAAUAUCUUGUGAAAAAGAUACUAAAGGCGGGUUCCUUAAGAAAAUUAUUUUUUAAGUGAUGAUCGAGCAACCAAAACUCAAAUAGAAUGCACUGGUGCUGAAGUGGUUUGCUUAAUUAAGAAAGUUGAGAUUACUUUUAUUGUAAUUUUAGGGAUGAUUUACUGGGAUGAGCACCAGUAGAGUUAAAUGUUUGCUGCCUUUUUUAGUCAAGAUUUGCUCCAUUAUAACAAAAAAAAAUCAAAUGUAUUCUUGAGAAGACAAUUGACUUUACUGAUUUUCUUUUUUCACGCAGUAGAAAAGAUCAUGGUUGCAAGAUCAGAUAUUCUUAAGAAUUGUGUGUGUCUCUAUUAGAUACUUGGCCAUUCAACUGAGCUGCAAUGUAUUAGAAAUUCACAGGCAA